CGAGUAGACGGCGAUGCAAGUCAGAUGUGAAAUGCUAGGGCUUAACCUUAGAACUGCAUCUGAAACUGUAUUGCUAGAGUGCAGGAGAGGUAAACGGAAUUCCUAGUGUAGCGGUGAAAUGCGUAGAUAUUAGGAGGAACAUCAGUGGCGAAGGCGGUUUACUGGACUGUAACUGACGUUGAGGCGCGAAAGCGUGGGGAGCAAACAG
RNAcentral lists this ribosomal RNA (208 nucleotides) under uncultured bacterium. RNAcentral describes it as "partial 16S ribosomal RNA". It matches the Rfam family "Bacterial small subunit ribosomal RNA", at positions 568 to 775 of the family's 1533-position model. The record is from RNAcentral.